AACAAAACAGUAUAUUGUUAAAAGACAUUAAACAAAAGAACAUUAAAAUCACUUAACUGUAUAGAAUUAAAUGUCAAAUGGCAGUAUCGUGUAUGCACAUCCCCUGAUGCCAAACUUAGGCUUCCUUCUCAGAAUUAAUGAAAAUUAAUAGCAACAUUAUGUGGUACAGGUAUCAUAUAACAUAUAUUCCAUUCUAAAGUAUUCAUAUUUGUGACAAAGCGCUAACACUUGAAAUA
Molecule: long non-coding RNA, 236 nt
Filed under: Bos taurus (domestic cattle)
Lineage: Eukaryota; Metazoa; Chordata; Mammalia; Artiodactyla; Bovidae
Description: long non-coding RNA NONBTAT025727
Source: RNAcentral